UCAGUCGGGCAAACCAAAUUAUCGAAGUUUUUUUUUUUUUAUUUAUAUUAUAUUUAAUAUUAUCCUUUUCCAAAAAUGGGUAAAUGUGAUAAGGAGUUAAUUAUAAAACUUUUGUGCGAAUUUCUUGCCAGCUUCUUUGUACAAUUUAUUGGCUGCACUCUUACCGAGGAAACCGUCUUAGGUAUCUCAUUGCCUACAACGGGCUCAUUUCCCUAUGCAAUGAGCUGGGGCGGAAGUGUCCUUGCGGCGACACAAGCAUUCCGGAUAGUGUCUGGUGCACACAUAAAUCCGUGUAUUUCCAUUGCAUCCAUGAUACUCGAGAACGUAGGCAUUCUCGAUGGCAUGCUUUAUAUACUUAUGCAACUUAUCGGAUCAGCCUUGGGCUUCGGUCUCUCAUUUGGCAUAUUCUAUGAUUCGAAAUUCAAAAACAAGAAAUUUUGCUGUACUGCGAUAACGCUGGAUCCUUGGUGGAAAGCGAUACUGUUGGAAUUUUAUAUGACCGGAGCCUGGGUAUUUGCCAUGUGCGCUUCAUGGCAUGAAAGCAACGAGAUGAUGUUGGAGUCCAUUUCGCUACGGAUUGGAUUGGUCGUCGUUGCUGCCACCUAUGUUGGAGCCAAUUUCACGCGAUCCUGCAUGAGUCCAUUCAGAUCCCUCUGGCCAGCAAUAGCUGCAGGUGAAUACAAGCACAUCUACGUCUAUGUGGCUGUGCCUCCACUCACGGCUAUUCUGCUGGCGGUAGCCUGGCGAUUUCUCUAUCUGCAAGGCAAAUCCGAGACUGUCAAGCCUGAAGGAGGUGGUGACUAAGGGGAACGGAUUUCUCUCCACAAUGUGGAAAAGAAACACAAGAGUAACCAAAAGUCAAAUGCAAAUUUUUUCUGAACUCUUCAAAACUGAAGAACAAUAUAUCAAUAUGUUGGGAAGCGAAAAUAUUCAUGGUGAUGAUAUAUAGACAAUCGACUAUCGACAAGCCCCGCCUACCCCUAUUAACAAAAGCCACAAUUGUAAUUGGUA
Molecule: unclassified non-coding RNA, 1011 nt
Filed under: Drosophila virilis
Lineage: Eukaryota; Metazoa; Arthropoda; Insecta; Diptera; Drosophilidae
Description: GJ22123
Source: RNAcentral